This 1480-nucleotide long non-coding RNA is filed under the name Homo sapiens (human). RNAcentral describes it as "HSALNT0376303". Lineage: Eukaryota; Metazoa; Chordata; Mammalia; Primates; Hominidae. The record is from RNAcentral.
AAUAUUAAAGCACCUUGGAGAGUAAUGAAAGAAAUACACAAGAGAAGAAGAGGCAAACACUGGUGGGUCACUCACUGUCUCAGGGCUUCCUUUGUGGAACCAAUAGGUAUUUUGAAAAGCAUCCUGAAAACAUGUCAAAGGUCUAAGGAUUGUUAUCAUUGGGGCUGGUGAGUCAUGGCCCAGACAGACAGUAAUACAGGUGCCCAAUCGGCUGCUGUCUAUCCAAAACAUGCCACUGGACUGUGAGGGAGGCAACCCUUAAAAUGGUGUGAAAUAGAAAAAGAGGACAAACUUGUCUGCAGCACUCAGGAGGCUCAGGGAAUUAACCAGGAGGGAACAGUAGCCCGGUUAAAAUAGUUUCUGUACUUCCAGAGGAAGCAAUUAAAUCUCAGCGUCUACCAUGGCAAAAGACCGAUUGUACUUGAGGAACAAAAUCGGGGAUGAUCAUCCUUUAGUGGCGGGAAGCUGGAAAAUGAGGGACUGUGGGCUGUGAGGAGAGAGAAAGAGGCUUGAGAAACCAGAAACCAUCAUUUGCAUCCAAGAAACUGUGCUCUCCAUGGCUUCCUCAAGAUGAGCAAACAAGAGUGAUACAGAUUUUUCUGAGAUGGACAGUGCCUCUCACUGACCCCGCCCCCAGUAUCCUACGACCAAGGAAAAGAAUCUCAUGUGUCAUUUCUGUGGGCCACGGUAGUUAAGGAAACUCCAUGUAUUUUCAUCUGGAGCCUCACAGCAACCCUGACAAGUGGCUAAGUGGGGACAAUGUGAAGCUCGGCUGCCCUUCCCCAAGGCCCUGGUCUUGACAGUCCUCAGGGGCUGGAGGCCCCCCUCAUCCAUGUCCCCACAAGAUUUCUGUCCAUGGCACCCAAGGACCCACUCAAAUGGUCUUGAAUGGACCUGAGGAAGACUGGCGAGUUAUUGGUUUUAUAAGCACAGUUGUGUCCGUUUACAUCUACCAGAAGGUACAGGGAUAUGGCGAGAGUGAGAAGACGUGACACCUGUUAAUACAAACUCUCCCCUUUAACUUGUCUUUCCAGAGAACACAGAAUGGGAGACACCGCUAAAACAGGCCACGUUAGCACUAGAACUGAUAAACUGAGAGCUAGGUUCUAGAUAGAAAAGUUACGAUGAAACAUCCUCAUCAUUGUCAACAGAUGAAUAUCUAAACCUCAGCUUUGAUGUCCUCUGCCAAAUGGAUUGGAUGAUGCCUGCCCUUGCCACUCCACGGGGUCUUUGGGGAUGAACUGAGCUACAAUGGCGAGGGAGCGGGUGGGAUACUAACUGGCCCUUCCCCUAGAUAGGAGGCCAUCAAGUGCAGAGCCAGAGACCGGCCCUGGGCCUCCGCAGGCUCCCCCGGAGCCAAAGAGAGGCCAAACCGAAGCGCCCUGCCCAAGGCCGCCCUAACGCGACUCUGGCCGCUCCUGCCUAGCAGAUACCGGCUGGUGCCCUCGCUUCGGAUGCAAGAUCCCAGCUCUGCUGCAGC